This is a long non-coding RNA of Pomacea canaliculata, 517 nucleotides long. RefSeq lists it as uncharacterized. The transcript is spliced from 4 exons. NCBI's taxonomy places the organism in Eukaryota, Metazoa, Mollusca, Gastropoda, Architaenioglossa, Ampullariidae. The record is from RefSeq and is a predicted model, not a curated record.
CGACACGUCAACACUUACGGAGACAUCAAGAUUAAGAUUUCCAGUCCUUCAUGAUGGCCAUGAAACUAAGAACAACUGCAAUAAUCAUCAUGGCUUUGGUGUGGCUGCAAGCAGCAGUUGUUGACGGGUGCACUCAAAACCAUCAUUCGUGUGAAACUAACUUUAAUGUGUGUUGCUCAAAUUCGGCAUGCGCGGCUAUUGCUGGUGAGGGUUUGAAAUGCAAGGACAGAGGGGACAGCUGCUGGAAAGGGGCUGGAGGUUUCAGGAAAUGUAAUUUGGCAUACGGCUUGUUUGAUAGCAGAUAAUCAAACAGCGGCUUGAAUUGAUGAGGACUUCACAGUGUUUCAGGGAUACAAGCUGUCACGACAACAGUUAAAUGUCAAAUGGAUUGUCCCAAAAAUAUCUCAACCUGUAAUUGUUGUUCUACUGACGAUUGAUCAGUAAACUGAAAGUUAAUCUUUCUAUCUGUGCUUUGCUUAUUGUAUCAACCAAUGUCCGAGGCAAGUAAAAUAAGUGU